GUACACGCCCUCAGGAGUGGCAAGUCGACAGAGGUCCUUCUGUAGCUUUGUAAUGAUUAACUUUAUGUCCAUAGGAAGCGUGAAGAAACAAAAAGCAUCGGAAGGACUCUGGGACGAGGAGCAGAGGAGUUGAGGAGAAGCAAGCGUCCUCCACAGGUCGGAUCCACUCAAAUAGCAGCUUUAAAUUGAAGCGUCUUGUGGUACAGUGAAAUGCGGGAGAGUUGACAAUGGAGUUCACAGUGUUUCUCUGCCUUUUGCCUGCAUUUACUCUCACAAUGCAAGAGUUGGUGAACUUGGACGUGAGCCCCGUGAUUACCACAGAGUGUGACAAACCAGUUGCCCUGCACUGCAAUGCAUCAUCACGUCAGCACGGACUGUCAGUCAAACGCAUGGAGUGGUCCCAAGGCAAUAUGUCUUUGUGUUCUGUGGACAGCCAAGAAACAGUGACCACACUGCAGAGACACUUUCAAAGUACCUUGCACUGCGAGUAUAAAGAUGGCCGACUUUCCCUGUUCUUUCAAAGUGUGCUGCCUCUGGGGAGUGGAAACAUGAGGCGCUACAGAUGCAAACUGCACUCCAACAAAGGAGUGGCCCAUAACUACACCAUAGUGCAGCUGCAAGACUGCUGUGGGACAGUUGAUGCUGAUCUCAAGAGUGAUAGUCCAUCCUGCACCUUUAACCAAGUCUACCCAGAUGGGGAUGUGCACUGGUUUCAUGGCUCUCAAAACAUCUCAGAAGGAUCUGUGACAAAGCACACUGCAAAAAGCAUUGAUCACCAUGGCUGGAUGGUCAUCCACAGCUGGUUGACCUUUCGUGGUACUCCAGAAAGAAGUUCACACCAGUCAUACAACUGUUCCUUGAGAAGCUCAACAACUGGUAAAUACAUUGCAAGCGCUAUAGUUCCGAGACAUGGACAACAGACCUUGAAAGGUGCUACAGAAAACAACGCCUGUGAUGCCAGGUCGCAGCAAGCUGUGAAGAUUGCUUUGGCUAUUUUAGUCUCACUCAUUGUCACGCUGAAAUAAGCAACUGUGCAAAAUCAUAACAUAUCUCUGAGCAUGAUCACACAUCAGGGUAAAUGAUUAUCAGUAAUAAGACGGUACUGAGUUUGGUUUUACUUUUCCAUUCAAAAGCCGGGCAACAAAACACAGACUUGUGUCUGUCGUCUUGUCAGGUUUCAAUAGUUUUUAUCCUCUUUUUAUUUUUUGCCUCAGGUAUACGAAAAAAAUGACAGGGUGUUGAAAGGGGAUAAAUAGGAUGCUGAUAAUUUUUAAACUAUAAAAGCACUUGGCUGAUAGAAGAGCUUUGGACAAGAGAGCGAGGUUUGUUGGUUUCCAGCACGCAACCUAGAAUAUAAUAAGAAUAAUGUAUGUUCACAGAAGCACAUCAAUCUUGCUGCUGGCAGAGAUAGAGCUUCAAGCUAAUUUAAGGCUAAAAUAAUGAAUUUUGAUAUGUGUAUUUUUACAAUAUUUCACAGUAAAUUGUAUGUGUAGCUGGUGAAGACAUUUCUGUAUGAGUAGCUUGCAGUGUAUAUGCUGACCUAAUAAUAAUGUGAAUGAUUGAUUUCAUGAUAACUUAUAGAAGCAAACAUGUUUUAGAGUUUAAAAUACUUAUUUGUGGGGCCACAUAAACAGCAAAGGAACAAGUCUGUUUGUGAUGUGUGGAUAGAUGCUGCCCUCUGGUGGUCCAGUAAUUUGGAGCAACACGUGGGUUGAAAUAAACAAUGGAACAGAGAUUGGACCUCCUUAUCAAAAAGCGCUGCAUAUUUUGUAGUUGAAAUCAUCAUAGGAAAAAUAAUAUAUGUGAUUUCUUGAUAAUUUCACCUCAGGAAAAAAAAAAGAGAGACUGGGAGAACAUAUCAAUUAAUGGCUCUAUGGCUCUAUUAUUCCAAAUUUUGACAAGCUCAACAACAACAAAUACCACAUGAAUGAAAAGAUUUUCCUAAGAUUUUUUACUUAUCCCAUCAGAUGGUUAUUGUCCAGUGUUGGAACUAAAAACCUGAAACAUUGUUUUUGACAAAAAGAAAAUCAUUUUUUUCCUGGACAUGUACAGCAAAAAAAAAAAAAAAAAAAAAACCCUCACAAGCUUAUCCCAGACAUAAUCUUCUCUCCUUUGGUGAUUCAGUGCACAGCUCCACUGUGGCCUGUGUCUGGAUGCUCACUUCAACAGUUUUCUGCUCAAAGGUUACACAAUCCAGGGCCAAAGCCAGAGUGUAGUUUCCACAUUAUACUGUGACCAUUAUCCUGGCUGAUGCAAAAGUACAUGGCAGCAAAUAGGGUACAUAGUUCAGGGUUCUUGACAAACCAAUGUUCUCUACCAGACCAGAAGCAAUAUCAAUAUUAAGCUGCUAUUUAGCCAUCAGGGCCAUCAAGAGCACUUGGUUUCUCACAAAAGAAACAGCUCUCAAACCUGGCCAUUUGUGUUCAUGUUUAACAAUAAUAACUAUUCACAGAAACCACACCACUGCGGUCCCUGCACAGGCAGACUGUGGCUGUGCUUUAUUUUAUUUGUUUUAUUUAUACCAACAGGAGUAGAAUACAGCGGAGCCCGGUAGUGCGGAAUAGGGUAGGGCUGGUGAAAAAGGGGCUAAGGAGAUGUAACGCCAUCACCAACACCAAUUGUGUGUUCUCUAUCCUGUUUCUCUGAAAUCUGGAUGAGUGGCAGGAUACGGAUACAGCUUCUCUGCAUUUGUCUGUUUGAACUAUGCUACCUACUUUCUGCUAUCCACUGAACCGGACUGGUACACUGCAAAAAGGGAACUAAAAUAUGUAAUAUUUUCAUGAAAUCACUGUAUGUUUCCUUCUUUGAGCAGGUAAAAAAGAUUAUUUGCCAACGGAGUAAGAUUCUUUGCACUUAAAAGAAGAACAGUUCAUCUCCAUCAUCUUAUUUCAAGAGCAGAAUAUCUAAUUAUCUUAUUUUAGGGCUAAAAAAUACUCAUUCCAUUGGCAAAUCGUCCUAUUUAGCUGCUCAAAUUGAGGAAAAGUAUACUAGUUUAAAGAAAAUUGUACUUACUUUUAGUUCCUCUUUUGCAGCAUACUGCAGUUUUCCUCACAACUUCCCCAUACGUCAUUGGGUUAUUUUACAUAAAUGCCCCCGAGCUAAAGCUAACACAUCAAACUUAAAAGCCCCAGGCUUUGGUUCACCCCGGGAAACCAAAGCUUUAAAUCCUGGGGCUUGCAAUGGAAAAGGGGUUUGUACAGCUGUGGUAGGUGAUGGGCUUAACUGCAAGUAGUCCUAUAAAUCAAACACUUUUGAGGUGCCAUCACAAUCUUGAGCCAUUUCUGAGCCUUAUUAAAAUUGAAGAAAUCUAAGAAAGCUAUUUUUAAUGUAUGAUAGAGAAUUUUGACAUGGAAUAACAGAAGUGUGCACCUUGUAGAUAUUUACAAAUUUGCUUAGAUUUACUAUGAAACCUUACGAGCAAUCAGCUAUGGUAAAAAUACAUUGUUUUUUUUUUCUCCAGGUCACAAACGCAGCUUCAGGGUAAAAGCUCUUGUUUUGUAACGCCUCAAUGCUCCUUGAUCAAGUUAUAUUGGCUCCCUGCCUGUGAUGCCACUGAAUUGAAGUGAAGGUUGAGCUUUUAAAGGCCAGAUUGUUCACACUCAUUGGUCAGGGCAAGACUGCAGUGCAGCUGAGGAUCAUUGUGAGGAAAUCCUUCUAGGGGACUUAACCAGUGCAGAGCACACACAUGCGUCCAUGUACAGACAUGUCAGAGUUUAAACCUUGAUCUCACAAUCACUGAUGUGCUAAUAACCUGCUUAUUCACCUCUAAUAUAGCAGAAAGAUGUCAUGCUGCUGUGAGUUUCUAAAAAAGUGAAUAAAUCAGAGUUUGCUUUAACUGUCCAUCCAGUCGGUUGAUCAGGGGUCCAACAGAUUCAUGUCCAUACAUCUGCGAGGUCUGGAAAGGCACUGAUUUAUAUCAUUUUAAAGGCUGCUGACCGAGUGACAACUUACUCCAAUUUGUGCUCAGUCACAGUUGAUGAGGUGGAUCAAUACAGCCACCGCAUCAAGCAAAAUAACUCUGGUGUAACAAUGAUGUAGUUUCGUGAGGAAAACAGAAAUAUAAUUAACAAAUGUCCCUUGUGUAAGUGUAGAUGGUUAACAUCCGCUAACAUGGCGACGGCUCCUAUAAAUCUGAACAUUUUCACUUUGAGUUCUUUAGAUAAAGCAUCUAUUACUGAUACUAAUGUCAGAGAGCCUAAACCCAAACAAUCUGAACUAUUCCUUUAAGGCAUAAACAAGCACAUGCCCUUCAGUGCUUGUUAAUUAUUGUUGGAGUUCUGUAUGAAAUUACGACCCACAAUGCCUUUUAAAGCCAUAUCUUUAUAUAUGCAUUAUAAGGUUAUUGCCUGUUUAUGCUGAGGAACACACUAGAACUGUUGCCUUCUUUUGUCUAUAUUUUAUAGAGUAUGUUCAUGGAUAUCCCAUCAGCUAGCUUUCAAAGAAAAAUAAAUGACAUCCAAUUAAAGCAUGUAAAGGAGAUUUCUGUAAUUAUCUGAAUUGAAACUGUCAGAAAGACAGAAUUUGAUUAAACUUGUGAUUUUUUUCCUCACAUGAGCAUAUGUCAUUUGUUUUCUUAUUGUCAUGUUGUGUUUGGAUUUUUUUAAUACAGGUUAAACACAAAAUUGUUGUAAAUAACUGCUGGGAUUCUUAUUUUUGAUUACUAAAUAAAUAAAUUCUGUGUUUAAUUCACUCCUGCAUUACUUUAAUCCAUUGGAGGCUAAAGUCAGACAAAUGUAACAUAUCAUAUCCUGUGGCUUAUUGAGAUUAUAAGUAAAUAAAUAAAAGCAAACUUGAA
This is a long non-coding RNA of Fundulus heteroclitus (mummichog), 4795 nucleotides long. RefSeq lists it as uncharacterized. NCBI's taxonomy places the organism in Eukaryota, Metazoa, Chordata, Actinopteri, Cyprinodontiformes, Fundulidae. The record is from RefSeq and is a predicted model, not a curated record. The transcript is spliced from 4 exons.